Sardina pilchardus (European sardine) is the source of this 155-nucleotide long non-coding RNA. RefSeq lists it as uncharacterized. Lineage: Eukaryota; Metazoa; Chordata; Actinopteri; Clupeiformes; Clupeidae. The transcript has 3 exons. The record is from RefSeq and is a predicted model, not a curated record.
AGAGAAUUUGUCAACGAUAUCAACAAAAAUUUAUGCCAGUUUCUUGAUGUGGAGAGGAGUCUUUGUGCUCCAUAUCAUCCACAGACCAAUGGUCUAGUGGAAAGAUUGAAUGGAACAAUUCAAAGAACAUUAUGCAAACUGGUAAAAGACAAGCC